Gopherus evgoodei (Goodes thornscrub tortoise) is the source of this 787-nucleotide long non-coding RNA. RefSeq lists it as uncharacterized. Lineage: Eukaryota; Metazoa; Chordata; Testudines; Testudinidae. The transcript is spliced from 3 exons. The record is from RefSeq and is a predicted model, not a curated record.
GCUGCUCCGGCUCCGGGCAGGCGCUCGGCGGGGCCAGGGCUGCGGCUCGGCGCUUCCUGCAGCAGAAGGGUCAGGAAAAUCAGCCUUGGCCCCCUCCUUAGCGCGCCGCGUGGCACCCGGCCCACGCCCACGCGCGGGGAUUGGGGUGGGUGGGCGUCCGGGUGCAGCACCCCCUGCUGGCCAGGUGGGGCAGUGCGUGGGGAAUAUCGCUUCUGGGGGGCACUGCCCCUGGUGACCAGCUGGGGCAGAGCCCUGUGUGUGUCUGCCCCCCAACACUGAGAUAGUGACCCCUGCUGGCCAGGUGGGGCAGUGCGUGGGGAAUAUCGCUCCUGGGGGGCACUGCCCCCUGGUGACCAGCUGGGGCAGAGCCCUGUGUGUGUCUGCCCCCCAACACUGAGAUACUGACCCCUGCUGGCCAGGUGGGGCAGUGCGUGGGGAAUAUCGCUCCUGGGGGGCACUGCCCCUGGUGACCAGCUGGGGCAGAGCCCUGUGUGUGUCUGCCCCCCAACACUGAGAUAGUGACCCCUGCUGGCCAGGUGGGGCAGAGCCCUAUGUGUGUCUGCCCCCCAACACUGAGAUAGUGACCCCUGCUGGCCAGGUGGGGCAGAGCCCUAUGUGUGUCUGCCCCCCAACACUGAGAUAGUGACCCCUGCUGGCCAGGUGGGGCAGUGCGUGGGGAAUAUCGCUCCUGGGGGGCACUGCCCCCUGGUGACCAGCUGGGGCAGAGCCCUGUGUGUGUCUGACCCCCAACACUGAGAUAGUGACCCCUGCUGGCCAGGUGGGGCAG